This 459-nucleotide ribosomal RNA is filed under the name uncultured bacterium. Its description in RNAcentral is "partial 16S ribosomal RNA". It matches the Rfam family "Bacterial small subunit ribosomal RNA", at positions 338 to 795 of the family's 1533-position model. The record is from RNAcentral.
CCUACGGGUGGCAGCAGUGAGGAAUAUUGGUCAAUGGGCGGGAGCCUGAACCAGCCAAGUCGCGUGCGGGAUGAAGGCCCAGCGUAUCGUAAACCGCUUUUGCCCGGGGAUAACACCCUCCACUUGUUGACGGCUGCAGGUACCGUGCGAAUAAGGACCGGCUAAUUCCGUGCCAACAGCCGCGGUAAUACGGAAGGCCCGAGCGUUAUCCGGAUUCAUUGGGCUUAAAGGGAGCGUAGGCGGGCGUUCAAGUCAGCUGUAAAAGCGCGCGGCUCAACCGCGCCCCGCCGUUGAAACUGGACGCCUUGAGUUCACAACAGGCAGGCGGAAUGCGUGGUGUAGCGGUGAAGUGCAUAGAUAUCACGAGGAACCCCGAUUGCGAAGGCAGCGUGCCGGGGUGCGACUGACGCUGAGGCUCGAAGGUGUGGGUAUCAAACAGGAUUAGAUACCCGUGUAGUC